AAGAAUUUAAAUUUAAAAAUUUUAAAUAAAAGAGUUAAAAUUUAAAAGUAUUAAUAAUAAAAGGAUUUAGACUAUUAAAAACAAUAUUAAACUCCUAGUCUAUUAAAUUUUUUAUCUAUUUUAGAAAAUUAAAAUUUUGAAAAAUUAAAAAAAUGAAAUCAAACGAUGAAACUUUAGCAAUACUCAAUUUAAACGAGGAUUGUAAUAUGAGCAUAGUUGUGAGUAUAAGAGUACAUGAGUUUGUUAUCAUUAUAAGAAAAUAUAAUUUACUUGUGUUAAAACAUAUUAUCCUCGGACAUAAGGAUUAGUUAAAGCUAUCGGCAGUUCCAACAAAAAAAAUUGUAUAAGAAUUUAAUAUUAAAUAAAAUAUAUAUUUAAUUAGAUUCUACGAAUAGAAACUCUAAAAUUACAAAUAUAUAUAUAUCUUCUUUGAUAAAAAGAAUACUUAAUCAAAAUUCAAAAUUCUCAUAUACGGAACCAAAAAUCCAAAGAAAGAGAAGAAAAUGUUGGAAGUUAAAGAAAUUCAAAUAGAAAAUAGACUUCUCCAGUCCUUAAAAUACAUGAUUAGCCUAAAUUUACACAUUCAAAUUCCCAAACGUAGAUAGUAAAGCAACAACAGCAAAAAUUAGAAAAGGAUUCAAACCGAUCAUUUUCUCUAAUGAAAAGGGAAAAAAUAUUCGGAAAAUUGAAACUGAUCAGCAAGGAAGAAACCCGACUAAGGGAACCGAAGUAGCGAAGGACCGGCUAGCCGUCAUUACUGNNNNNN
RNAcentral lists this long non-coding RNA (766 nucleotides) under Gossypium barbadense (sea-island cotton). RNAcentral's name for it is "long non-coding RNA (GBAR_LNC002766)". Lineage: Eukaryota; Viridiplantae; Streptophyta; Magnoliopsida; Malvales; Malvaceae. The record is from RNAcentral.